This 87-nucleotide transfer RNA is filed under the name Candidatus Margulisiibacteriota bacterium. RNAcentral's name for it is "tRNA-Ser". It matches the Rfam family "tRNA". From Rfam's summary of the family: Transfer RNA (tRNA) molecules are approximately 80 nucleotides in length. Their secondary structure includes four short double-helical elements and three loops (D, anti-codon, and T loops). Lineage: Bacteria; Bacillati; Candidatus Margulisiibacteriota. The record is from RNAcentral.
GGAGGGAUGGCCGAGCGGCUGAUGGCGCUAGUCUUGAAAACUAGUAUGCCCGCAAGGGUAUCGGAGGUUCAAAUCCUCCUCCCUCCG